This is a long non-coding RNA of Corvus hawaiiensis (hawaiian crow), 569 nucleotides long. RefSeq lists it as uncharacterized. NCBI's taxonomy places the organism in Eukaryota, Metazoa, Chordata, Aves, Passeriformes, Corvidae. The record is from RefSeq and is a predicted model, not a curated record. The transcript has 2 exons.
CGUAUUACCAGCCCCUUCUCCUCAGCAUUUUCUGCACAGGGAUGAAACCCCAAGUGAGAGAGUGCAACUGUACUGAAAAUAAGCAUUGUUUUUCCAUAGAUCCCUCCCAGGCAAUGAUCAGGAUCCAGGAGAGAGGUCCACUCCAUACAAACAGGUCCUUCAGAACUUCAGUUCACACAGGUACUGCUUAAAGCAGAGCAGCACAUCAAUGAAACUCGGUUCUAUACCGACACCUUGAUCUACCAACACCACUGGGAACCACCAGCAGCAACAACCACCUUCACCUCCACCAGGGUUUAACCUGCCAGGAUUAGGCAAGCAGUGGAGGGAUUACUGCAGGCCUGGGCGAGAACAGGACAGGAUUCAAGGACUGGUCUAUACAACCCAGAGACACCCAGGGAGGGAAUUCUUGGCUCUGACAGACCGAGCAGGCUCCGUGUCUGUGCCGGGCCAGGCAGUGACAGCUUGGGAACAAGUGGCUUUCUAAUCGAAGGCCACCUCCCUUUCUCGGAAAGGAGUGUGCUGGCUUAUUCUCAGGAGAAAAUGAAAAUAAAAGCACUCUGACAUUA